This 1055-nucleotide long non-coding RNA is filed under the name Felis catus (domestic cat). RNAcentral describes it as "lncRNA (ENSFCAG00000049039.1)". The record is from RNAcentral. Lineage: Eukaryota; Metazoa; Chordata; Mammalia; Carnivora; Felidae.
CCGACCCAACCCACGCCAGCCCCACUUUGUCGGUUUUACCACUGGGUUCUAGGUGAGAAGGUUUCAUUUGAAGGAAAGCUCCACUGCUUUCAAAUUUUUUGAAGAAUUGUUCUCUUGGACCAACUUAUUUGUCGUAAUCUAUCCUGGGUGUGCCAAGGAAGCCUACGUGUCGGGGACUAACCUGGCCUAACUUGCGUGUGCUGGGCUGACUCCUGAGUCCUGCGCUAUCCUGGGCUCACAGGUGCUCCAAACCCACCCAGGUGUUUUAGGAUAGCAUGUGUCUCUGGGCUAACCUGGGACAACGUGUGUGUCCCGCAUGAAUGUGUGGGGCUGGGCUAGCCUGAGAGCUAGUUCCAGGCUAGGCUGGGCUAAGCUACAUGUUCAGAGAUGGCUUGCAGGUUCUGGGCCACUCUAGGCACCUGUUCCAGGCUAAUUUGCAAGAUCUGGGGGAGCUGCCUCUCUCUGUCCUAGAGACAAGGACCAGGAAGAGAGCUCUGGUCCUAGUGCCCUCUUAGUUCUUCAACGGUGGGGAAGCUGUCCUGUUUUCCUUCUGAUGAGAACAGCCAGUACCAAAGAGCUUGGGGUUCCUUCAGGAGCAAGCACCCGGGACGGCCUCAGGAGUCCGGAGCCAGCCUCCCCCUGAACUCGUGGGGGUGGAGGAGGACACACACCCUUGGAUGCCAGCCAGCUGAGGACAGAAGGAAGUCAGGGACCUCAAGUGAGUCUCAGCUCCACCCCAGCUUCGCCAAGAGCCCCCUCAAGAAAGCCUGGCAUUCGUGCACAGCUCUGUGCCUGGCGGUGUCACCCCCAUCCACCCAUGGUUUUGGCGGAAGGAGGAUCAUCUGUCCAGUUGGCAGGUGAGGAGCCAGGCUGGAAUCGCAGGUGCCCCUAGCUCUGACGCCCGGGCUUCCGAGACUGCGUGUCACCUGUCGAAAUCCCCGUCCAGGAGCCUACCCUCUGUCCUUGCUCCAUCAUCGGUCCCUCCCCAGAGGCACCUUGGCAAGAACUGUCUCCCCCGUUGCUCCUGGCCCCUGGGAACAUCCACUCUGCCCCAG